UGCUAAAAGGCUCUUCAGUCCCUCGCAGCUGGGUCCUGCUCGCUGAGAGGCAGCUGAGCCUUUUUAACGAGGCAUGAAGGGUGGGGUGGGUUUCCCCGAUGGCUCUGGGUGCUGCCGGCUUCAGGCUGAGGGAGUUAUUUUAGGGUUUCUUCCUUUCCUUGUGUUUGUAGUCCUUGGAAUGUAGGCUCAUCUCUGGUCUGCGGCUGUUCCACUGAUGGUAUGAAGGCAAGUGUGAGAUGGAGCCAGUACCCAUUUGGCUCUUGAUGGGGCUGUGUGUGUUCUGGUGCGCUGACUGGGUCUGCUGGGUGCUGUGGAAAUACAUAAAGAAAAGAAAAAUCAAUCUUUCCCCAGAGUUCUCCCACUCUUGAAUUAAAGCACCAUCAGUAAAUGACAGACUGUGGCUGGGAGGGGCUCAAACAAGCACAUGGGGAGAGCACCAGGAGGAAGAGGAGGUCGGGCUGCUGUACCUGUGUUUUUGUUUAGACUAGGAGUGCUGCAGCUGAGCUUGUCUCCUGCCCAAAAUGGGGAAGCUCAGGAGAGACCAGCCCUGCCAGGAAUGGGGAUGUGUUGGGGGGAGCAGCAGUCCUGGAGGGUGGGGUGAGGGACUGUGGCAGGGCAGGCAGGAGGAGAGUGGCAGCACCUAUGGGGAAAAUACCCAACCUCAGCCGUGGGGCUGCAGGGCAAGAGCAGGGUUUGACCCACCACAGUGGAAAAGCAGGCAUGGGAAGGUGGCUGUGAAGGCAAGGAACAUGAUGAGUCUGAGCAGAAGGGUUGAAAUCAUCAUCCUGCAGUGCUCUGACCUUCAUCUCCAUCUUGCAGCUGAGGGACCCUCUCCAUGGCCAGAAACACCGCGAGGCUGUGCAGACAGAGCAGCUCUGCCUUCUGCACAGCUGGGCCAGGCAGAGUGGCAGGCUGGCCCCAGAGAUGGGGUCCACUUCUGUGUAGAAACACUGGUCAGGAGACAAAGGAGCAUUUGGGCCCACAAAUCUCAAGGGGGUCCCUCCCUCCAGCUCUCAGCUCUCAGUGCCGAGACAUCAGAGGAACCGGUGCCAGGGGAGCUGUGGGGUACGGAGAAGGUCUAACUGCCCAAACCAUGGAGGCCAGGUACCGAGUGAGUGGAUGGGGGAGUGUUGCCAGCCCUGGGGUCAGGCCACCAGUGCUCCUCAUGCCUUGCCCAUGGCCACCCUGGCAGUUCAUGGUGAAGCUAUGGAUGAUUUAAGGGGCAAACCUGUCUCAGAGUGUUCCUGGUCCAGAGCAACGGCUGUGGAUGAACCUGUCUCCAUCCCUGUGAACCGAGCCCUCCAAGCCUGAGAACGGGAUGCUUGAUGCACAUCAAGGGACAGAGACAACAACUGUUGGCUGUGCUCAAUGGUGCUUUGUUCUUGGCCCAGGAAGCAAUGAAAAUCCUCCUGCUUUGAAGCCUGAGGAGGUCUUUUUAUUAUAUCCAGGGCUCCUGGAAAAGGAAACUCCAAGUGCUUUCCCAUAACGUGAUAAAAAGCUCUCCUGGCUGAGACCACGGCAGCUCCUUACACGUGAGAGCAGUGAGUCGGUGCAGUGUAAGGCUGAGCUCAGUGCUUGCCCAGCCACUGGAAAUCACUGAUUCUUGGCAUGUAUGUAACUGGGAUUUGAAAGAACCUUGGUGUGAGUUCUGUUCACCUUGCCCUUCACCCCAGAGACCUGGCAGCUGUGGUGCCUGGUCCAUGUUAGUGCCUGGUGCUAACAGUGGGGGUCAAGCAGACCCUGGACCCUCCAUUCUGGCUGGGAAGCCCU
Motacilla alba alba is the source of this 1770-nucleotide long non-coding RNA. RefSeq lists it as uncharacterized. NCBI's taxonomy places the organism in Eukaryota, Metazoa, Chordata, Aves, Passeriformes, Motacillidae. The transcript has 3 exons. The record is from RefSeq and is a predicted model, not a curated record.